RNAcentral lists this unclassified non-coding RNA (458 nucleotides) under Bombus terrestris (buff-tailed bumblebee). RNAcentral describes it as "misc RNA ENSBTSG00005030228.1". The record is from RNAcentral. Lineage: Eukaryota; Metazoa; Arthropoda; Insecta; Hymenoptera; Apidae.
CAGAGAUUUAACGAUUUGCUGGGCUUAAGUCUCGUUCGACUAUGGGUUCACUGAGUGACCAGGCUUCGCGUUAUUCUUUGAUAAAGUCUCCGGCUGCAAUGGCCGCCGUGUGAUAAGUCGAAAUUAAAGCGUUUCUGAUACCAGAUUUACGAGCAUCGAACUGAGAGAGCGUCGUUUGCGCGUUACACCGUGCAAUUGCGCCUGUCCACUGUGUAGCGGCACACGAGCUAGAGGACAAUUCAAAUGAUGUUGUUGUAUUGCCUCGGAGUAUCAAGAUCGCUAGGAUACAUGUAAUAUCUCAUCAGCGAUUCGAAGCUAGUCCGGGCUGGAGGAAGCAACGAUACGAAUCGAGAGACAUCGGGAAACGGUCGAUUCGAAGAAGUCAUCGUUCGUUCGGUUGGAAUCGAUUAGGGUAGCCAGCACGGGUCGCGCUCGAUGAGAUUCCAAGCUCGCGCUAU